Molecule: non-coding RNA, 427 nt
Organism: Cyanistes caeruleus (blue tit)
Lineage: Eukaryota; Metazoa; Chordata; Aves; Passeriformes; Paridae
Source: RefSeq, a predicted model, not a curated record
CUUUACUACUCCAUGCCCAGCUCCUAGGUUUCUCUAGCUCCAGGCAGCAAAACUUCCAGUGAAAGACUUCAUAUUGAGAAUAUAUCUCAGUGGCAUACAACCUCCUGAGUCUUCUGGAUUUCAGAAAGAAAAUGUUAAAGGACUGAGGUGGAGUGGACACUGCUCAAAAGAGGUGUCAAAAUUUCUGUCAGGGCAUGUUCUCUCCACAGCUGCUGGUAAUGUUUUCCUAUCCCCACAUGCUACUGGGCUGCCUGCUGGAUCUGCUGAGGUCCUGGGAGCAAGCUGAGGCUCAUCCCUCUCUUGACCACAGACAUCGUCCAAAGAUGAAAACACCACUAAUGGAACAACGAUCGCUGCUUGUGUCUGCACAGCCAGCGUGCUUUCAUCAGCACUCUGUCCAAGGCAAACGUCUUUGGAGUCUGUAGAA